AUUUUAGGUGUUGCCUUUGCUGUCCAGUCUGCUCCCAGGAUGCUCCUUGACAGAUAUUAUGUCCUGUGCCACUGCACAGUCAGUCACAACCCAGCUGACGGCAAAGAUUCAGGCUUUCAAACUAGCAGUCUCCAAGUUGUCAAGAAUUGGCAGGAUGGCCCUUGCCAAGGAGGAGAGUCAGUCACAAACAUCCUCACAGAAGUUACAGGCUGAAGAUGGUUCAGAGGAGAUGAUGAAGCCAUGCGUCACUCCAAGAGAGGUGCAAUGCAAGCUAGUCAAGAGAAAACAACAGUUGAAUCAAGCUGUGAAAAGAGCCCUGCAGCAGAGGCAGCCCCUGCACUAUGACGGGCCCCGUCUGGCCCUUCACCACCCCGUACGUGAAGAGCCUAGCACUCGGGAACGGCCGUAUGCGUGGAGGAAAUUUGGGGGCUUUGGGCUCAAUUGUUGAAGGCUCAUUGGUAUGAAUCAGUCUCAGCGAUUCUGGUGACUGUGUAAUCUGUAAUUCCCUUAAUACUUUGGGUUUUAGACUUAAAGGGAUAUUUCAAACAUGAAAAUUUUGUCAUCACUUAGUGACUUUUUUUUCUGAACCUGUAUGGCUUUCUUUCUUCUGAGGAAAAAC
Molecule: long non-coding RNA, 619 nt
Filed under: Sinocyclocheilus anshuiensis
Lineage: Eukaryota; Metazoa; Chordata; Actinopteri; Cypriniformes; Cyprinidae
Description: lncRNA (ENSSANG00000012485.1)
Source: RNAcentral